This 324-nucleotide ribosomal RNA is filed under the name uncultured Acidobacteriota bacterium. RNAcentral's name for it is "bacterial SSU rRNA". It matches the Rfam family "Bacterial small subunit ribosomal RNA", at positions 29 to 351 of the family's 1533-position model. Lineage: Bacteria; Pseudomonadati; Acidobacteriota. The record is from RNAcentral.
AAUGAACGCUGGCGGCGUGCCUAACACAUGCAAGUCGGAUGUGCCCAGCAAUGGGUGCAUGGCAGACGGGUGAGUAACGCGUGGGGAACCUACCUCUUUGUGGGGAAUAACGUUCCGAAAGGAAUGGUAAUACCGCAUGAGACCGUUGGCUGGGAUGCUGACGGUGAAACCCGGGGACCGCAAGGCCUGGGGCAAGGAGAGGGUCCUGCGUCUGAUUAGCUAGUUGGUGGGUAACGCCUACCAAGGCAUCGAUCAGUAGCCGGCCUGAGAGGGUGAUCGGCCACACUGGAACUGAGACACGGUCCAGACUCCUACGGGAGGCUG